UGUUAGUAGAGAUGACACUUCUGGAUUAGAUGAAAGAAUGAGUCAUCAUUAUGUAAUUUACUACCGGAUACCACUUGGUUUCUUUCUAUCCAAUCUAUUAGGAAAGAGGUUCACAACACAGGUGUUGGCAGCAUAGGCCAAAAUGAGUUUAGCUUUUGACAUCUGUCUCUCUGAGCCAGCCUCUGACAGAAUGUCCGGGAGUCACUCAGCAGAGAGGCUGCACAGAGCUGGGUCCCGCACACUGGUGCUUCUGCAGUUCAAGGAGCUCAGGGUUUUGCAGCGCUGAAGUGCACGGAGCAAAGGAGCAGAUCCUUCACCUGGAGGCAGGAAGUGGCUGAUCUCCCGGGCAGGUCCUGGCCGUUGUGUCCAGACUAGAGACCUCGUUGCUCCUCCUAGCCUUGUUUCCGGUCGCGUGGGCUGAGGCCGCCUUCUCAGGUGGACAGCAGAGACGGUCUAGCCCUGCAGAUGAGCUGCGUUGCUGACAGACCACAGUGCUACUUUCACUUUCCCCUCGAGGGCUUCUGUAGCCUUCGAGCAGAAAGAGAGAUCAAGCUGAUACCAGGGUGCAGGGAACGCCUGUCCGGGAUCUCCGGUGAAACGUCAGAGAUGGCCCAGCCUCUGUUGUCAGCGUUGUAA
RNAcentral lists this long non-coding RNA (636 nucleotides) under Bos indicus x Bos taurus (hybrid cattle). Its description in RNAcentral is "lncRNA (ENSBIXG00000015980.1)". The record is from RNAcentral. Lineage: Eukaryota; Metazoa; Chordata; Mammalia; Artiodactyla; Bovidae.